UACGUAGGGUGCGAGCGUUGUCCGGAAUUAUUGGGCGUAAAGAGCUUGUAGGCGGUUUGUCGCGUCUGCAGUGAAAAUCCGGGGCUCAACCCCGGACUUGCUGUGGGUACGGGCAGACUAGAGUGUGGUAGGGGAGACCGGAAUUCCUGGUGUAGCGGUGGAAUGCGCAGAUAUCAGGAGGAACACCGAUGGCGAAGGCAGGUCUCUGGGCCACAACUGACGCUGAGAAGCGAAAGCAUGGGGAGCGAACAGGAUUAGAAACCCUGGUAGUCC
This 273-nucleotide ribosomal RNA is filed under the name uncultured prokaryote. RNAcentral describes it as "partial 16S ribosomal RNA". It matches the Rfam family "Bacterial small subunit ribosomal RNA", at positions 524 to 796 of the family's 1533-position model. The record is from RNAcentral.